CGAGAGCGAAAGUUGUCGCAUGGUCCAGAAGCCAAGAAGCCAAAGGAGAAUGUGUUUUAAAGAAGAAAACGAGACGACUUGUCUUCUUGUUGUAUUGCGGGUAACCGACAUCCAUGAACGUCUUACGUUGCAGUGACCUUAGACGGGAGAAAGCUACCUGACGACCUGGAAUGUGAACACAAGCCUAGCACGUGGAAGUGGAAGGAUGCUGUGGUUGCUCAAGCUCCUGCCCACCCCCUACCUCAAGAAGGACUGAGCUCACUGACCUGGAGGUCAACUCCUUCAUUCCUCAAGCAUGAAGAUGGGAGAUUUCGUGGACGUAGUUAAGCAGGAUGUUCGAGCCAUUUUGAACACGACGAACCAAAUGAAUCCUGCCAGCAAACAUUUCCCUUCAUAAUCAGUGAAAGAACUCCAAUUUGAGAGCUGGCAGCCUCACAGCCAGAAAACCCUGUCGGCCCCAUAGCAGCAGCGGCAGCUGCAGGUCACAACCGAAGUUCAGCCUGGACCUCCUUCUGUUGCACAUGUCCUUGAUCCAGAACAACCUGAAUUCACUCUGCCAUGCUGGGAAAUGCUGUCUGCCUAAACCCUGCCUCCAUUAAGCUAUAACACCAGCAUGCAGAUUCUUAGACAGACGGAUGAGGUGUUGGAUCAGCGGUGCUGCAGCUGCUCGUCAUCCACAGCUCAAACAUUGAUGACCACUGUGAGCCUUGGGAAGACAUCUUUCAGCUCUACAGCUGUAUUGUGGGCUUAUUGCUGAUUUUUUCAUCCUUGCUGUCUCAAGGAUGAUCGCUGCUCUGAUGCGGGAGCGUUCCAGAGAUUCAAAGGACCUGCGGUACAUGUGCGGAGUCCCCGAAUCUAAGCUAACCGCAGCUGCCGCCCCCUUCAAAGCGACAAACAUUGAGAGAACUACAAGAGACAGAAGGGGAGCGUCACCUUCAUCCACACAGACAGUUUUUGGCUGCGGGCCACGGCUCAGUUUCUCUCUCCAUCACCCUUCUCCUUCACAGAGUCCAGAGCAUAUAGCACAGCGGUCAAAGCUGGGUUUCCAAUCCUCCCCGUUGCGUCUGAUUCCCUCCUCCUGUGGGCAGUCGCCGCUGCAGCCCGGACCGGACGUACACACACAGUCGUAGCCUCCCGGAAGGUUCACACACACGCUGUCAUUCCAGCAGGUGUGUGUCUGCAAACUGCACUCAUCGAUGUCUGGAAGGCAGAGAGCGAGCCACAGUAAACAAAUGCUUGUGUGUCAUUUGUUGAGGAAACAGUGUUUUUGGGCAGUUAUCAAUUAAUGUAGUUUGGGUACAUUUGGGUACUGAAGCAGUUUUUUGGCCCCGACCAAAAUGUGUCCUGUAGUAUCAAAUACCUCCUGAUCUGAAUCUUAAUUCUUUCUAUUUCACAGUUUCAUUGGGUAAAACUGGCACAGUCCUUUAGUGGCAUUGAACAUUCGAGAACUUUCUCAGAGCCAAAAAACAUUUGCACGUCUCAAAAAGGUAUUCUUUCAACGUUGGUGUUGAAUAAAUUCUACUGUGACAUUAAUGACCAGCUACUUUGAUACACAACC
This is a long non-coding RNA of Chelmon rostratus (copperband butterflyfish), 1558 nucleotides long. RefSeq lists it as uncharacterized. The transcript has 12 exons. The record is from RefSeq and is a predicted model, not a curated record. Lineage: Eukaryota; Metazoa; Chordata; Actinopteri; Chaetodontiformes; Chaetodontidae.